CUUGUCUUCCCGAGUAGCUGCUCCAUUCCCGGCAUAGAGGAUCAGGAGAGGGGACGCCACCUGCCACACGCUGGAUGCUGGGGUCCGCACGACUGCGGCUUGUGUCGCUGUGGUUGGUGGUGGUGAUGGAAACUGCAGCGUGGCUGGAGUGAAGAGAAACUGUCUUUAAAAUCUGUCUGCCUGGAUAAACUCAAAGGAGCCUUUACAGAAAGCACAUUCACACAGACUGGCUAAUGAGACCCCACACUGAAGAAGCCUAGAACUUCCACAGACUCCCUGAAAUCUAAGUCCUCAUUUUUAACAUACAGCUUUUAAUACUAGCUUCAGAAGUCCCGGAUCCCUGCAAAGUUAAUAGAGUUCCCUGGCCCCUUCUAUGUUGAGACAUGGUGAAAAGGCAGCCUCUAUCAACCAGAAAGCAGACUCUUUUCAGCCA
This 433-nucleotide long non-coding RNA is filed under the name Homo sapiens (human). Its description in RNAcentral is "HSALNT0198629". Lineage: Eukaryota; Metazoa; Chordata; Mammalia; Primates; Hominidae. The record is from RNAcentral.